Molecule: long non-coding RNA, 367 nt
Filed under: Numida meleagris (helmeted guineafowl)
Lineage: Eukaryota; Metazoa; Chordata; Aves; Galliformes; Numididae
Description: lncRNA (ENSNMEG00000001076.1)
Source: RNAcentral
GGUGGAUUGUUAUUUUCGACGUAGUGGGUGAUCUGACUGAAAAACCACUUUUCUGUUUCCUUUCUAUAUGUCACAAGCUGCGUCAGAUUCGAAGCCGAAUAUUUCCCUUACUGCAUCCUCAAUUAAGAAAAAAUAAAUAGAAUCUGUGUGGCCGUUACGCAGGCUCAUCCGCCAGCUCUCACUCUUCCACCAAGCAACGUUUCCUGUUGGGAGAAUGCGCGCUUCCUUAAAAACUCAAGUUGCCCUGCUGCACCCCCUGCCGAAGACUUUGCUCUCAGCAAGCAUCCUGCUGCCCAGCACCCUGUUUUGGUUGCAGUGCUUCCCCAGAGCUCCUGGACUGCUGCAAACCAACUAAAUAUCUCAUCAG